Molecule: ribosomal RNA, 395 nt
Filed under: uncultured bacterium
Lineage: Bacteria
Description: bacterial SSU rRNA
Rfam family: Bacterial small subunit ribosomal RNA
Source: RNAcentral
GAUGAACGCUGGCGGCGUGCCUAAUACAUGCAAGUCGAACGAGGUGCUUUUGUAGCAAUACGAGAGUAUCCUAGUGGCGAACGGGUGAGUAACGCGUGGAUGACCUGCCCCAAAGUGUGGGAUAACAGUCCGAAAGGAUUGCUAAUACCUCAUGUGGUUAUCGGUUUUAGAAAGCGAUAACUAAAGCAGCAAUGCGCUUUGGGAGGGAUCUGCGUCCCAUCAGCUAGUUGGUGAGGUAACGGCUCACCAAGGCGACGACGGGUAGGGGACCUGAGAGGGUGGCUCCCCACAAUGGAACUGAAACACGGUCCAUACACCUACGGGUGGCAGCAGUAGGGAAUAUUGCUCAAUGGGCGAAAGCCUGAAGCAGCAACGCCGCGUGUGCGAUGAAGGCC